Molecule: transfer RNA, 68 nt
Filed under: Paludella squarrosa
Lineage: Eukaryota; Viridiplantae; Streptophyta; Bryopsida; Splachnales; Meesiaceae
Also listed under: 6 other names
Description: partial tRNA-Leu
Source: RNAcentral
GUAGACGCUACGGACUUGAAAAUCCGUUGGCUUUAUUGACCGUGAGGGUUCAAGUCCCUCUACCCCCA